This 125-nucleotide small RNA is filed under the name Marmota monax (woodchuck). The record is from RNAcentral. Lineage: Eukaryota; Metazoa; Chordata; Mammalia; Rodentia; Sciuridae.
AUUAGGUGUGGUGGCGCACAUCUGUAAUCCUAGUGGCUAGGGAGGCUGAGGCAGGAGGAUUGCGUGUGCAAAGCCAGCCUCAGCAACCAUGAGGCACGAAGCACCUCAGUGAGACCCUGUCUCUA